Equus caballus (horse) is the source of this 1834-nucleotide long non-coding RNA. NCBI's taxonomy places the organism in Eukaryota, Metazoa, Chordata, Mammalia, Perissodactyla, Equidae. The record is from Ensembl.
UUAGAGACCCUGUCCUCAGCUUGCUAUGCUGAGGGGGUGAGACAGGCAUCUUGCUGUUCAGGCCGCAGCAGCCCGGAGCCUCGGCAGCCGCGCACCUCCCCGCUGCCCACUCGUAAAACAACAGUUUGCUCACACUCAGGGGUAAUUUUAGCAAAAUGAGUGGAAAAGUGCUUCCUUUCACCCACUGGGAGAGCAUAUUUCCGAGGAGAUGAAGGUCCGUCUGUAAGAUUGAGGCGUCUUCCUCUCCUCCCAGGACGCCCCCCGCAAUCCUCCCGCAGCCAGACUCGCCCCGCGUGGUUCUUCUCUCCUACCCCCGCCCUCGCGGUGUUGGGGGAGGAAGGGAGGCGAGAAAAAAGGCCGCGGCAUCCGGGCCUCGCUUCUUCCCUGCAGGGGCUCCUGACAGCCGCCGCCCCGGCCCCUCUCUGCAGAGCUGGGCUGUUUCCAGACAGGACUGAGCGCCUUUGACGGUGUUCUAGGAUUACUUUGGAAAUACAGAUCAUUCUAACAUCUUUUCUAUAAUUUAACCAACAAACCUUCGUAACCUGUGAGAACCUAGGGAGCUGAGAUGAAAGGCUUUGAAAAAUCAAAACAUUCUAAAAGGCCUGAUACCACUUUUUCUUUGCUUUGCUUUUUGUUUUACAGCAGGGAGUCCACUGUGAGCCGCCCCUGGGGUUUCUGCACAUUCAGUUCUGCCUCGGCGCCACCCACCCUCCCGUCGCCGCUAGUCACAGCUGUUUUCUUUUUUCUUUCCAUCCUACGAGCAAAUACGAGAGCCCAAGGAUACUUUCUGGAAGAGAAGCGCGCGCUGCGUGCAGCUCGCCUCCCCCGCCGAGAGUGCUCCGUGCAAAGCUGCGUGCCGGCUGCAAAGUCUUUAGCUCUGAAGACCCCCUACCCCCAUCCCAUCCCAUCCCAUCCCCGCAAACGGUCAAGUUCCCAGACUUAAAAUACUUUAGAGCAGAUCAGGUGACACACAUUUCCACCAGGAAGCCCCGUCAUUCAGAGAUGGAGCGGAGAAGGGAAGGGGGGCGGCGCCCGGAAUCCUCAUUUUGCUAGAUCUUUCUCCAGGUCGCCGCGCCCGGAGGACCGCAGAAAGGUGCGCAGCGGCGCUGGCCCAUUGCGUGCCCUGGCGGGCGCGGCGCGGCGUCGGCCUCCACCGCGGAGAGGGUGGGGGGACAAAGGGUCCUCUUUGGAAACUUCUGUCCCGGUCCUUCUCGGCGCGCCGAGAGCCUGCUUAGCCAGGGCGGGGCUGGCUUCCGGAGCCCAGGCCCCAACAGGAGGCAGAGGCAUCCGCAGUCUUUCCAGGCGGAGCCCCUCCCCACUGAGGCCCGGCCUGGAGCUCUAGCCGCCCUGGAAUCCGAUUUUAAUGUGACGAAGCCAGACUCUGAGGCUGCGGCGAUGCUGCCGCGGGGGCGGAAGCGGGAGAGAGCGGCGCAGCGCCUGGCGGGCCUGGAGUGGCCUCCUUCCCAUUCCUUAGAGGAGCAUGGCAGCCGCGUUUGCAUCGCUAGGACGCCUGUUAGAAAUGCUGUCUUGGCCCCACCCCAGGCCUACUGAACUAGAAUCUGCAUUUUAACGGAUCCACAGGUGUCUCAGGUGCAUGUUAAGUGUGAGCAGCCCUAGUAAAGAACCAGUUCAGAUCUGCAGCUCACUCCCAGGCUUGGGUGUGGAGAGGGGAGGCAGAGAAGGUGGUUGGCCACUUUUCAUAACAAAAGGGAGGCCGGAAGAGGCUUAUCUUGCUUUCUUUCUUUGCAUGUUACAAGCCAAGGACUGGGCAAGGGCGAGAGAGUUCAUCUCCUGUCGUAGAAUACUGAGCAUCCACUCAAUGUCCCAGCCAGGG